Sparus aurata (gilthead seabream) is the source of this 1986-nucleotide long non-coding RNA. The record is from Ensembl. NCBI's taxonomy places the organism in Eukaryota, Metazoa, Chordata, Actinopteri, Spariformes, Sparidae.
UAGUUUUUAUGAUGAUCAUCCACUUCAAAAGACCUUGAACAUUCGAUAAAGUAUUGAAAUCAAAUAAGUCAAAGAAGUCUUGCAAACACAACAAAUAAAAACCAAUCAAGACAAAUGUGAGGGUGUACCUCUUACUGCCUUAACGCCAACUUUCAGCACCCCACCCAACACCCGACUUCGAACUCAACAUUCAUUUCUAUCUCAACAACACACCUCUAAAGUUUCAUAACUGCUUGUUACACAGUUGUGAUCGCAGUCAUAAUUUCCAGCUCUUGCUGCUGGUAAGUAUGUCCUGAAUGCAGGUUUGAAUGAGCAGUCAGAACUAAACUGGCUUCACAGCUCUUUAGUGUUUUUGUCUUCUGUUUUCUUGUUUUGUCCCAGUCAGUCAUGACGAACCACCUCAGAUAUGUCAAAGAUAAUUUGAGUUGAGUGGAGACAGUGAUUCUGCUACAUCCUUGUUUGUUUAGAUUAAGAAAUUGGUUUAGUUUCUCCAGAAGUGAAGCCUAACACACAGUAUAUAAAGCUCAGCCCAUAACCUUCCCUAUCAGACCAGGUAAAGACAUGGAGAUCGGUAAGUAUCUCUUUUACUUUGACAAUACUGACACAUUUCUGAAUUUGAAACUACUGAUACUUCUACGUAUAUGUUUUCCUUAAAUGUGAUAAUUAUAGUAACCAUAUUAAAUAUGUUUGAUAAACCAGAGCAGCUGUAAAUCUUGAUUCUAUUUUCAUCUCGUGUUUCAUGGACAGUUGCUGCCAUUGGAGCUGUAGCAGGAGGAUUAGGAGCUUUGGUCGUGGCUCCUGCUGCUCUGACUGCAGUAGGUUUCACUUCAGCAGGAAUAGCUGCAGGCUCCUGGGCUGCUAGCUUGAUGUCAUCUGCUGCAGCUGCCGGUGGAGGAGGAGUGGCAGCAGGAAGUGUGGUGGCUGUUUUGCAGUCAGUAGGUAAGGGCACUGUCUUUAUUUUUUUUUAAUCAACUUUAAUCUUCUUUAACUGUUGUAUUUAAAUGGUGAGAGGAUCAUUGCUGCAGUAAUCACAGGGUCAAUAUAUGUAAACAACUUCAUAUUGUGUUGACAGAUUCAUAGUUUUUGGUUCACAAUGACACUACUGUGUAUUGGUGCUACUGUUACAUUUAGUCUUUUGGCCUGAGAGCAGUGUUUUCUCAGCUCCUCUGUAGCUCGAUAACUUGAUAUAAAACCUGUGUAAUCCUGCUGUAGGUGCAGCUGGUGUGUCAGCAGCUACCACUGUAGCUACCACUGUAGCUGCAGCUGCAGCUGGAGGAGCAGCUGCAGCUGCAUCUGCGGCUGGAGGAGCAGCAGCAGCAGCAGCAGUGAUGGGGUUUUCAGCCAUGGGUAACCCAACUGGAUACGGCUGCUCAGUCCAAGGCUCUAUUAUUUAUUGUUACUAAGUCUCACUCCUACAUUGUCAAAUAUUGACAAAUUGGGAAUGAGACUCAACAAUCAAACUUCCUCAGGAAUUACUCACUCCUUCUUUAUAGAGGCUAAUGCAAUUAAUAUCGAGCAAUGUUGUCAUCCAAACAACUGACAUUUUGUGCAAUAAAUCUGUAAAACCUCCCACUUCAAUGUGUCGUCUGUAAAUAUUUUCACUGUACAUGAAGCACUCACUGGUUCAUUGACUAUUGUUACAUAAAUUCUUAAAUAAAUAAAUCAAGUUUCUUUGUUUGUCCGACCAAAGUGUAACAUGUGAGCUGUUAAACCCAAACAAUGAGCUAUAGGAUGCUUUAAAGUUCAUACAGCUGAGUGGAGCUGCGUACUCAGGUGUUUAUCACCUGUAAGGCCCUAGCUUUUAUGCAUAUUUUCCAUUUGCGCAUACAGAAAACCUUGAAAAUGCAGAAAAUUUGAUACAGUAUCGAAAUGUGUCGAAAAGAUCUUGCAAACACAACAAACAAAAAAAUAACGGCAAAAAGAAACAAAUGUGUGUGUACUUCUUACUUCCUACUCGCCUACUUUCAGCACCCCACCCAACACCCA